Molecule: long non-coding RNA, 1573 nt
Filed under: Rattus norvegicus (Norway rat)
Lineage: Eukaryota; Metazoa; Chordata; Mammalia; Rodentia; Muridae
Description: long non-coding RNA NONRATT024237
Source: RNAcentral
UUUUUUUUUAACUGAACAUUUGGUAACAUGCAGAAGAGACUGACAAAAUGGUUUCUGGCAACUUUUAAUGUAAAGUUUACAUAGAAAAACAGGAUAUUAGUUCAGACCACUGGUGAUAUCUCAUGCUGAAAGCAAAUUGUGAAAUGUUUUAGACAGUUGUUUUUCAAUGCUUAAUCCUAAAGUUUCAAAAUUUUGACUUAAAAUGCAUAGAAGUAAGAGACUUUUUUUUUACCUGAUGGCAUGUUUACAUACAAUAAUUUUCUAAAAAAAUAAAAAGGCCUGCAUUUCAGUGGCUCUCAACCUUCCUAAUUCUGUGACUCUUUCAACCAUAAAAUUAUUUUCAUUGUUACUUCAAAACUGUAAUUUUACUACUGUUAUAAACUGUGAUAUAAACAUCUGUGCUCUCCAAUGGACUUAGGUAACCCCUGUGAAAGGGCCAUUCUCUCUCCAAAGGGAGUCAUGACUCACAGGUUGAGAACCAAUGCUAUAUUUUCAUACAUCUCAGUUUGGGAUUUCAUCAGGUUUUUAUACAAUAUAUGAAAAACAGAUCCAGGUCCAUGCCCUUCAUACAUUAAUCUCAGCGAUGACAAAGACAAUGACAGACACUGGCAUUUUUUUUUUCUUUAAGCAAUUUGAGAACUACAUUCGGCGGAGUGACAGAUUAGCCAUCUUGGUAGCAAAGGUUCUAUCACACAAACAACUUACUGUAUGGAGGGAAGUGAAUUGUACUUAUCUUUAUCUUAAUGCCAGCUCAAAAGCCUCAAUUCAUUAUUUGAUUUCUUAACAAGAUACACUGAAAAAACAUAUGCAUAUGAGGUAAGAACUAUUCUUAAGUGAAACCUGAAAACAUUUUAUAGAUUAUUUUGUUCGUUACCUUUACACAAUGCACCAUUCAUUUCAGUCAUUAAAAUACCUUGCACCAAACACGGCAUCUUCAAUCUUAACUCCUCAAAUAUGAGAAAAACUAAUAGUUUCCACUAGUAGAAGUGGAAUUUAUAAAGUCAAUAUAACGAAAAGGAUUACAGACCCAAGACAGUUUUUUAAAGAGAAUUCAGACAAUGAAAUGAGUGCUCUGCUUAAUUUAGCUAACUAGCUUAACAAGCGCCACCUCCCUUCACUGCAGGCUAAUGGGCACAGCCAUCUUUAGCAUUUUCUAUGGUGACCUUUCUGAUUUCAUCUUGGAGGUCUCAGGGAAAGCCAGCAGGGCUCAUUUCUCAGAAAACACUGUUAAAAUUCAAUUGCUACUCUCUUAAUAGUACGCAGUAAUUAAAUAAUUUUGGCAAUAUGUUAUUUUCAAAUUUUUCAACAUAAGGCACAGAGGAACAUCUAACGUUCAGAAGCAAGUAUAUUACACAAUAAAUAGUUAACUUUCAUUUAUCCUUUGCCCUUUAUCUGAAGAAAGGGGAUGAGUAGUGCAGUAAAAACAUGCCUGGAUUCAUUAAAAAAAAAGAAAGUUGGGAUUUGAGAAACUUUCUGUGUGUAGAAAGAAUAUUAAUUCAAAAGAGAUAAAAAUAUUUCAUAUAAAAUACACACCCUGUGUUACAGGUAGAUAGAAAAAAAAACAAAAACAAAA